RNAcentral lists this ribosomal RNA (497 nucleotides) under uncultured bacterium. Its description in RNAcentral is "partial 16S ribosomal RNA". It matches the Rfam family "Bacterial small subunit ribosomal RNA", at positions 28 to 507 of the family's 1533-position model. The record is from RNAcentral.
GAUGAACGCUGGCGGCGUGCCUAAUACAUGCAAGUCGAGCGAACAGACGAGGAGCUUGCUCCUCUGACGUUAGCGGCGGACGGGUGAGUAACACGUGGAUAACCUACCUAUAAGACUGGGAUAACUUCGGGAAACCGGAGCUAAUACCGGAUAAUAUAUUGAACCGCAUGGUUCAAUAGUGAAAGACGGUUUUGCUGUCUCUUAUAGAUGGAUCCGCGCCGCAUUAGCUAGUUGGGAAGGUAACGGCUUACCAAGGCGACGAGGCGUAGCCGACCUGAGAGGGUGAUCGGCCGCACUGGAACUGAGACACGGUCCAGACUCCUACGGGAGGCAGCAGUAGGGAAUCUUCCGCAAUGGGCGAAAGCCUGACGGAGCAACGCCGCGUGAGUGAUGAAGGUCUUCGGUUCGUAAAACUCUGUUAUUAGUGAAGAACAAAUGUGUAAGUAACUAUGCACGUCUUGACGGUACCUAAACAGAAAGCCCCGGCUAACUACGUG